This 82-nucleotide transfer RNA is filed under the name Dreissena polymorpha. It matches the Rfam family "tRNA". Rfam says of the family: Transfer RNA (tRNA) molecules are approximately 80 nucleotides in length. The record is from Rfam by way of RNAcentral. Lineage: Eukaryota; Metazoa; Mollusca; Bivalvia; Myida; Dreissenidae.
GUUGUCGUGGCCAAGUGGUUAAGGCGAUAGACUAGAAAUCUAUUGGGAUCUUCCUGCGCAGGUAUGAAUCCUGCCGAUGUCG